GGACGUUAGUGGCCGUUCGAUCAAGAUUGGAUGGUCCAAAAUAGUGCAGAUUUUAAUUUUAAAAUUCAAAUCACUAAGUUUAAGUUUGGACCAUCUAAUCUUGAUUGAAAGGUCACUGAUGUCC
This 124-nucleotide microRNA precursor is filed under the name Trifolium pratense (red clover). RNAcentral's name for it is "pre miRNA MIR811". The record is from RNAcentral. Lineage: Eukaryota; Viridiplantae; Streptophyta; Magnoliopsida; Fabales; Fabaceae.